This 1175-nucleotide long non-coding RNA is filed under the name Capra hircus (goat). RNAcentral's name for it is "lncRNA (ENSCHIG00010026881.1)". Lineage: Eukaryota; Metazoa; Chordata; Mammalia; Artiodactyla; Bovidae. The record is from RNAcentral.
CUUAGCAGCAGCAGCAGCAACAUAGAUUAGAGUAUGUGAUAUACAGUAGGGGUUGGCAGAGUUUUUAACCACCAGAUAGUAACGACCAGAUGAAGUAAAAGUGAAAGUUUUAGUCGCUUAGUCAUGUCCAACUCUUUGUGACCCCAUGGAUUGUAAGCCCACCAGAUUCCUCCUCUGUCCACGGAACUUUCCAGAUAAGAAUACUGGAGUGAGUUGCCAUUUCUUUCUCAAGGGGAUCUUUCUGACCCAGGGAUAGAACCCAGGUCUCCCGCACUGCAGGCAGACUACCAUCUGAGCCACCAGGGAAGGAUCAUAUAGUAAGUACUUAAGGGUUUGUGGGUCACACAGUGUCUACAGCAACCACUCAGUUCUGUUGUUGUACCACAAAAGCAGCCUUUAUAAAAAUACAUGGGCAUGGCUGUGCUCCAAAACUUUACUUCUGGACAAUAAAAUUUGAACUUUGUGUAAUUUUCACAUCAUGAAAUAUUUUUACUUUGAUUUUUCAACCACUCAGAAAUGUAAAAACUAGUCUUAACUUGUAUUCAAGAACAGAGACCCUGCCCCACAGCCAACCCUGAAAAAUAUUAUGAUUAUUGCCAAUAACAAUAUCUGAAAAUGGAAGAGGAACUGUGUUACCAUCAGAUAGAGAUAUUUUGGGACAAAUGUGCUUCUUUUUUGUACAGUUUAAACUGCAAUUGGAAGGCAGAUUAUAACAGGAAUUUCUGGAUGGAUGCCCAUGAGAUGAUAGACUAUAUCUCUCAAAGAGUUCAAGAAGGAUCAGAGAAGCCCAAUCUUCCUAUUAGAACUUCCAAUUUAGUCUAAUUUUAUAUGGCAACCUAGACAUAGCAGUUAAAUAGCCCUACAUAGCUAAUAUCCAAAAAUAUCAAACCAGUCACAAUAGAAAUAAGGUAUCAAUAAUGAUUUUAGUUAAACACAGAGAGAAAUGACCAAUUUGGUUUCACUCUCUCAUCCAUACAAUAAGUGGGUUUUACUAUUUUAUCUUUAAAGACCUUUCUAGUUCACCAGCAGGAUCAGAAUGAGGAAAAUUUUGUAGACCAGAAAAAAUGUUGCUUGCCUGUCUAAAAGUCAUAACCUGGACUCCUCAUAAUUGCUUCUGAAUCUUCUAGAGCAGUUCAGUUCAGUUCAGUUCAGUCGCUCAGUCGUGUCCAACUCUU